UAGGGAAUCUUCGGCAAUGGACGGAAGUCUGACCGAGCAACGCCGCGUGAGUGAAGAAGGUUUUCGGAUCGUAAAGCUCUGUUGUAAGAGAAGAACGAGUGUGAGAGUGGAAAGUUCACACUGUGACGGUAUCUUACCAGAAAGGGACGGCUAACUACGUGCCAGCAGCCGCGGUAAUACGUAGGUCCCGAGCGUUGUCCGGAUUUAUUGGGCGUAAAGCGAGCGCAGGCGGUUAGAUAAGUCUGAAGUUAAAGGCUGUGGCUUAACCAUAGUACGCUUUGGAAACUGUUUAACUUGAGUGCAAGAGGGGAGAGUGGAAUUCCAUGUGUAGCGGUGAAAUGCGUAGAUAUAUGGAAGAACACCAGUGGCGAAAGCGGCUCUCUGGUCUGUAACUGACGCUGAGGUUCGAAAGCGUGGGUAGCAAACAGGAUUAGAUACCCUGGUAGUCCACGCCGUAAACGAUGAAUGCUAGGUGUUGGAGGGUUUCCGCCCUUCAGUGCCGCAGCUAACGCAAUAAGCAUUCCGCCCGGGGAGUACGACCGCAAGGUUG
This 550-nucleotide ribosomal RNA is filed under the name uncultured bacterium. RNAcentral describes it as "bacterial SSU rRNA". It matches the Rfam family "Bacterial small subunit ribosomal RNA", at positions 355 to 896 of the family's 1533-position model. The record is from RNAcentral.